Ornithodoros turicata is the source of this 520-nucleotide long non-coding RNA. RefSeq lists it as uncharacterized. NCBI's taxonomy places the organism in Eukaryota, Metazoa, Arthropoda, Arachnida, Ixodida, Argasidae. The transcript has 5 exons. The record is from RefSeq and is a predicted model, not a curated record.
CCUCGUUGGAUUUUGCACGUUUUGCACGCGUCGCUUCCAGUGGUCGCUUCUUUUGUACGACGUACGGUGGGGAGCACUGUAUAAGAUGUUCCUGAUAGUAGAAUUUCUGGAGGAAGAGCGAUGUGGGACGCAUUCAGUUGAAAUAGUUCCUGUCUCAUGGGUCAAAGGCAGCGUCUGUAAAUAGCCCAAAGUGCCAGCCGAUAGGCACGAAAGCUCAUCAUGAAGUAUGCCCCUCCUACAGCGUCGUGGGACAGCUUUCACGUUGCCAUAAAAGGCUCUUUUUGUUCAGAGACUAGAAGAAAAAGAAAGCGGAUUGAGUCAUUUGAUUCUGACACGGAUGUGGACGACGUAGACACUCUGCCAAGUCCGCCACCUUUCCCGACGACAUUCCCUGAGAGGAGUAACAAUAACCUUGCGAGUCACCAUACCUCACCCACCGGAAGUAUAGUCCGGAGCGGCAGCGUUAACAGUGACCUCAAUCACUGUGCCCAAGAUGAACCUGGGACUCAUGACAACAGUG